GUAUAUACUGAGAACACUCCAUUCAAGCAGCAAAAUACACAUUCUUCUCAAGUAUACAUGGAAUGUUAGCUGGGCAGUAAAACGAAUUUCAAUAAAUUCAAUAUUGAAGUCAUAUCAAGCAUCUUCAACUACAAUUGUAUGCAACUAGAAAUCAGUUUUAGUAAGAAAACUGGAAAAACCACACAAAUAUGGAGAUUAAACAACAUGCCACUUAAAACUCAGUAAGUCAUUGAAGAAAUCAAAGGAGAUACAAAAAAAAAAAAAAACCCACCUAGAGACAAAUGAGAACAGAAAUAAUCUCAAGUAGUCUAAUGGUUAUAGCUAAAAUAACAACAACAACAAAAAGAAAAAACAGGUGCCUGGGUGUCUCAGUUGGUUAAGCAUCCGACUCUAGAUUUCAUCUCGGGUCGUGAUCUCAGGGUUGUGAGAUUGAGCCCUGAUUGGGCUCCAUGCUGGAUGUGGAUACUGCUUAAGAUUCCCUCUCUCCCUCUCUCUACCUCCUUCCCCCCACUCAUGCAUGCUCUUUCUCUGUCAAAAAAAAAAAAAAAAAAAAGAAAAAAAAAAGGAAGCCCAAAGUAAGUAGAAGAAUGGAAACAUAUAUAAAAAAGAGACUAUUUUAGAUAGUAGAAAGAUAAAUGACUAAGAGCUGCUUCUUUGAUAAGAUAAAACCGACAAACCUUUAGCUAGAGUUACCAAGAAAAAAAGAGAACCAAAAUCAGAUUUGAAAGAGGAUACAUUACAACUGAUAGCACAGAAAUACAAAGGAUCAUUAGAGACCACUAUGAACAAUUAUACACCAACAAAUUUGGUAACCUGGAAAAGAUGGAUAUAUUCCUAGAAACAUGCUGAAUCAAUAGGAAAUAGAAAAAUCUGAACAGACUGAUUGCUUAGUAAGGAAACUGAAUCGGUAAAAGAACCUCUCAACAAACAAAAAUCCAGGACGAGAUAGCUUCACUGGUGAAUUCUGCUGAACAUUCAAAGAAGAAUUAAUACCAAUUCUUCUCAUAUUCUUCCAAAAAACAAAACAAAAACAAAAACAGAAGAGGGGACAUUCCCAAACUCAUUUUAUGAGGCCAUCAUUAUCCUAAUACCAAACCAGACAAGAAUUACUAGAAAAUUACAAGCCAAUAUACCUGAUGAUUAUACAUUCAAAAAUCUUCAACAAAAUAAUAGCAAAUCAAAUUCAUUUAUUAAAAAGGUUAUAACCCUAAAAAUAAAAAGGUUAUAACCCAUAAUCAAAUGGGAUUUAUUCCAGUGAUACAAGGAUGGUUCAACACCUGUUAGUCCAUAUAAUUCACAUUAACAAAAAAGGAUAAAAACAUGAUCAUCUCAAUAAAUGGAGAAAAAGCCUUUGACAUAAUUCAACGGCCAUUUAUGGUAACUCAAAAGUGGUGGGUAUAGAGGGAACAUACCUCAACAUAAUAAAGGCCGUAUAUGACAAGCCCGCAGCUAACAACAUACUGAGCGGGGAGGGUACAAGCUUUUUCUCUAAGAUCAGGAACAAGACAAAGAUGCCCACUCUCACCACUUAUCAACAUAGGAAUUAGAAGUCCUAGCCAAAGCAGUUAGGCAAGAAAACGAUAUAAAAGGCAUCCAGAUUGGAAAGGAAGAAGUAAAACUGCCACUAUUUGCAGAUAACAUGAUAUAUAUAUAUAUAUGUAUAUAUAUAUAGAAACUCCUAAAGACCCCACAAGAAAACUUAGAAUAAAAAGAAUUCAGUAAAUAAAGUUCAGGAUAUAAAAUCAACAUACAAAAAAUAUAUUACAUUGCUAAACAUUGAUAAUGAACUACCCAAAAGAAAUCCAUCCAAAAAA
RNAcentral lists this long non-coding RNA (1814 nucleotides) under Canis lupus familiaris (dog). RNAcentral's name for it is "lncRNA (ENSCAFG00000058212.1)". Lineage: Eukaryota; Metazoa; Chordata; Mammalia; Carnivora; Canidae. The record is from RNAcentral.